GUGAGGAAUAUUGCGCAAUGGAGGCAACUCUGACGCAGCCAUGCCGCGUGCAGGAAGAAGGCGCUACGCGUUGUAAACUGCUUUUAACCGGGAAGAAACCCCAGGACGUGUCCUGGGUUGACGGUACCGGAGGAAUAAGCACCGGCUAACUUCGUGCCAGCAGCCGCGGUAAUACGAAGGGUGCAAGCGUUAUCCGGUUUCAUUGGGUUGAAAGGGUGCGUAGGCGGAGCGUUAAGUCAGUGGUGAAAUCCUGCAGCUUAACUGUAGACUUGCCAUUGAUACUGGCGCUCUUGAGUGCGCUUGAAGUGGGCGGAAUGUGCCGUGUAGCGGUGAAAUGCUUAGAUAUGGCACAGAACACCAAUUGCGAAGGCAACUCACUAAGGCGAUACUGACGCUGAGGCACGAAAGCGUGGGGAUCGAACAGGAUUAGAAACCCGAGUAGUCC
Molecule: ribosomal RNA, 445 nt
Filed under: uncultured bacterium
Lineage: Bacteria
Description: partial 16S ribosomal RNA
Rfam family: Bacterial small subunit ribosomal RNA
Source: RNAcentral